Molecule: long non-coding RNA, 858 nt
Organism: Oncorhynchus keta (chum salmon)
Lineage: Eukaryota; Metazoa; Chordata; Actinopteri; Salmoniformes; Salmonidae
Exons: 2
Source: RefSeq, a predicted model, not a curated record
UUAUCUUAUUUAGUGUCUCUUAGAUUCUUUAUCUUAUUUAGUGUCUCUUAGAUUCUUUAUCUUAUUUAGUGUCUCUUAGAUUCUUUAUCUUAUUUAGUGUCUCUUAUAUUCUUUAUCUUAUUUAGUGUCUCUUAGAUUCUUUAUCUUAUUUAGUGUCUCUUAGAUUCUUUAUCUUAUUUAGUGUCUCUUAUAUUCUUUAUCUUAUUUAGUGUCUCUUAGAUUCUUUAUCUUAUUUAGUGUCUCUUAUAUUCUUUAUCUUAUUUAGUGUCUCUUAGAUUCUUUAUCUUAUUUAGUGUCUCUUAGAUUCUUUAUCUUAUUUAGUGUCUCUUAGAUUCUUUAUCUUAUUUAGUGUCUCUUAUAUUCUUUAUCUUAUUUAGUGUCUCUUAGAUUCUUUAUCUUGAAGUGUUUCCAUUAUUAGUCCAGGUAUUAUUAUAAUCAUCUGUUCAUUCUUUGUAUUUUGAAACAUUUUUUAAUAAAGGGGUUUGUUGUUGUUUACCUCUCAUGAUGUUAUUGAUUAUAAAUGUUAUGAUAUUGAUUAUGAUGUAGAUUAGUGUUAUGUUGUUAGUAGUAUAUAGAUAAUGAUGUUAUUGAUUAUAAAUGUUAUGAUAUUGAUUAUGAUGUAGAUUAGUGUUAUGUUGUUAGUAGUAUAGAGAUAAUGAUGUUAUUGAUUAUAAAUGUUAUGAUAUUGAUUAUGAUGUAGAUUAGUGUUAUGUGGUUAGUAGUAUAGAGAUAAUGAUGUUAUUGAUUAUAAAUGUUAUGAUAUUGAUUAUUGAUUAUGAAGUAGAUUAUUGUUAUGAUGUUGCUCUCUAAACUGCCAUGUAAUCAACUGAAUGCUUUUAAUAAAAUUACAGGCUGUCA